Molecule: ribosomal RNA, 523 nt
Filed under: uncultured Acaulospora
Lineage: Eukaryota; Fungi; Glomeromycota; Glomeromycetes; Diversisporales; Acaulosporaceae
Description: SSU rRNA
Rfam family: Eukaryotic small subunit ribosomal RNA
Source: RNAcentral
CAGCCGCGGGUAAUUCCAGCUCCAAUAGCGUAUAUUAAAGUUGUUGCAGUUAAAAAGCUCGUAGUUGAAUUUCGGAGUUUGUCGGUUGGUCGGGCUUCAUUGUCCGCACUGACCUGAUGGAUUCCUACCUUCUGAAUAACCAGCAUGCUAUUAAGUUAGUGCGUUGGGGAAGCAGAGCUAUUACCUUGAAAAAAUUAGAGUGCUUAAAGCAGGCUUAUGCUUGAAUAGAUUAGCAUGGAAUAAUAAAAUAGGACGGCAUGGUUCUAUUUUGUUGGUUUCUAGGAUCACCGUAAUGAUUAAUAGGGAUAGUUGGGGGCAUUAGUAUUCAAUUGUCAGAGGUGAAAUUCUUGGAUUUAUUGAAGACUAACUUCUGCGAAAGCAUUUGCCAAGGAUGUUUUCAUUAAUCAAGAACGAAAGUUAGGGGAUCGAAGACGAUCAGAUACCGUCGUAGUCUUAACCAUAAACUAUGCCGACUAGGGAUCGGACGAUGUUAAUUUUUUAAUGACUCGUUCGGCGCCUUACG